CGUGGGUAACCAGCCCAUCAGAAGGGGAUAACACUUGGAAACAGGUGCUAAUACCGUAUAACAAUCGAAACCGCAUGGUUUUGAUUUGAAAGGCGCUUUCGGGUGUCGCUGAUGGAUGGACCCGCGGUGCAUUAGCUAGUUGGUGAGGUAACGGCUCACCAAGGCCACGAUGCAUAGCCGACCUGAGAGGGUGAUCGGCCACAUUGGGACUGAGACACGGCCCAAACUCAUACGGGAGGCAGCAGUAGGGAAUCUUCGGCAAUGGACGAAAGUCUGACCGAGCAACGCCGCGUGAGUGAAGAAGGUUUUCGGAUCGUAAAACUCUGUUGUUAGAGAAGAACAAGGAUGAGAGUAACUGUUCAUCCCUUGACGGUAUCUAACCAGAAAGCCACGGCUAACUACGUGCCAGCAGCCGCGGUAAUACGUAGGUGGCAAGCGUUGUCCGGAUUUAUUGGGCGUAAAGCGAGCGCAGGCGGUUUCUUAAGUCUGAUGUGAAAGCCCCCGGCUCAACCGGGGAGGGUCAUUGGAAACUGGGAGACUUGAGUGCAGAAGAGGAGAGUGGAAUUCCAUGUGUAGCGGUGAAAUGCGUAGAUAUAUGGAGGAACACCAGUGGCGAAGGCGGCUCUCUGGUCUGUAACUGACGCUGAGGCUCGAAAGCGUGGGGAGCAAACAGGAUUAGAUACCCUGGUAGUCCACGCCGUAAACGAUGAGUGCUAAGUGUUGGAGGGUUUCCGCCCUUCAGUGCUGCAGCUAACGCAUUAAGCACUCCGCCUGGGGAGUACGACCGCAAGGUUGAAACUCAAAGGAAUUGACGGGGGCCCGCACAAGCGGUGGAGCAUGUGGUUUAAUUCGAAGCAACGCGAAGAACCUUACCAGGUCUUGACAUCCUUUUGACCACUCUAGAAGAUAGAGCUUCCCCUUUCGGGGGCAAAGUGACAGGUGGUGCAUGGUUGUCGUCAGCUCCGGGCCGGGAAAUGUUGGG
Molecule: ribosomal RNA, 982 nt
Filed under: Enterococcus faecalis
Lineage: Bacteria; Bacillati; Bacillota; Bacilli; Lactobacillales; Enterococcaceae
Description: bacterial SSU rRNA
Rfam family: Bacterial small subunit ribosomal RNA
Source: RNAcentral